AUGUGCGUGGRCUGGGGCUCCCCGGGAUGCAUUGCAAAGUGCCAGAUGAGGCUUGGCGGCUUGGUUCGAGGUGGAGUGCGAUAUACUGGGAGCACUAUUUCUAGCAGACUACAAAAGACCAUCCUUCGAAAAUCAGAUAAGCAGUCAGAGAACCUGUAUGCUCUUCUCCCCCUCCUUUCAGCCCUUGGGUAUGUGACUGGCUCUUUUGCAGAUGUGCAGGAUUUCAAAGGACAGCCAGACAAUCCUGGUAGCCACACUCAGCCCAAAAGCUGCACACUGAAAAUCUCGAGCGCUCUGCACUGUGCCAGUCAAGCCUGCAGCACUGUCAGUGAGGAGAAAGUCAAGGCGGAUUCCAGUACAGCGCUGAUGCGAGUGUGGUGCCCAGCAGCUUGUGGCCGAGGACUGGUGCCGACAACCGUUCACAAUGAAAGGAAAUAGAAGCUGACCUAAAUCCAGGAGGGUGUGUUCACUACUUUGGAAGCUGAGAGAAGAGAAUGAAGCUCAGGGGUGAUGUAGUGAAAUGUGAAGCAAGCUUCCAARAAUUUCAGUAUUUGAAAGAACAAUUUUCUGAAUGGGCAAAAGGAGCUGGCAGAUAGAUAGAAGUAAGAAAUAAAUGAUCUUCCUCUGGGGUGGGUGGGGACA
RNAcentral lists this long non-coding RNA (642 nucleotides) under Dromaius novaehollandiae (emu). RNAcentral's name for it is "lncRNA (ENSDNVG00000013397.1)". Lineage: Eukaryota; Metazoa; Chordata; Aves; Casuariiformes; Dromaiidae. The record is from RNAcentral.